GAGCCUUGACCAAGAAAGUCAUAUACCAUCAAACCAUGGGAGCUUAACCAUAAGUGUGUUGAUUCGUCGAUAUUAUUACUAUCUGAGCCU
This is a small nucleolar RNA of Nicotiana attenuata, 90 nucleotides long. It matches the Rfam family "small nucleolar RNA snoR116". NCBI's taxonomy places the organism in Eukaryota, Viridiplantae, Streptophyta, Magnoliopsida, Solanales, Solanaceae. The record is from Rfam.